RNAcentral lists this ribosomal RNA (466 nucleotides) under uncultured bacterium. RNAcentral describes it as "partial 16S ribosomal RNA". It matches the Rfam family "Bacterial small subunit ribosomal RNA", at positions 28 to 507 of the family's 1533-position model. The record is from RNAcentral.
GAUGAACGCUGGCGGCGUGCUUAACACAUGCAAGUCGAACGAUGAAGCCCAGCUUGCUGGGUGGAUUAGUGGCGAACGGGUGAGUAACACGUGAGUAACGUGCCCUUAACUCUGGGAUAAGCCUGGGAAACUGGGUCUAAUACCGGAUAGGAGCGUCCACCGCAUGGUGGGUGUUGGAAAGAUUUAUCGGUUUUGGAUGGACUCGCGGCCUAUCAGCUUGUUGGUGAGGUAAUGGCUCACCAAGGCGACGACGGGUAGCCGGCCUGAGAGGGUGACCGGCCACACUGGGACUGAGACACGGCCCAGACUCCUACGGGAGGCAGCAGUGGGGAAUAUUGCACAAUGGGCGCAAGCCUGAUGCAGCGACGCCGCGUGAGGGAUGACGGCCUUCGGGUUGUAAACCUCUUUCAGUAGGGAAGAAGCGAAAGUGACGGUACCUGCAGAAGAAGCACCGGCUAACUACGUG